GAUGAACGCUGGCGGCGUGCUUAACACAUGCAAGUCGAACGGACAGACGCUGCUUUUGUGGGUUGCUCGAGUGCCGCACGGGUGAGUGACACGUGAGUAACCUGCCCUUGUCAUUGGGGUAUAUUCACGAAACUGGGGCUCAUACAGGAUAUGAGCUCCUGAUCCAUAUUGUUGGUUGGAAAGAUUCGGCGGUUGUGGAUGGACUCGCGGCUUAUCAGCUUCUUUGUGGGGUAGUGGCGUACAAAGGCUUUGAAGGGUAGCCGGCCUGGGAGGGUGACCGGGCACAUGGGGACUGAGAGACGGCCCAGAAGCCUACGGGAGGCAGCAGGGGGGAAUAUUGCAGAAUGGGCGGAAGUCUGAUGCAGCAACGCCGCGUGCGGGAUGCCGUCCUUCGGGUUGUAAACCGCUUUCGCCUGAGACGAAGCGGGAUUGACGGUAAUGGGUAAAGAAGCACCGGCUAACUACGUG
This 468-nucleotide ribosomal RNA is filed under the name uncultured bacterium. Its description in RNAcentral is "partial 16S ribosomal RNA". It matches the Rfam family "Bacterial small subunit ribosomal RNA", at positions 28 to 507 of the family's 1533-position model. The record is from RNAcentral.